RNAcentral lists this long non-coding RNA (461 nucleotides) under Mytilus galloprovincialis (Mediterranean mussel). The record is from RNAcentral. Lineage: Eukaryota; Metazoa; Mollusca; Bivalvia; Mytilida; Mytilidae.
AUAAUUAUUAUUAUAUGUCUAUAAAAGUAAUAUACAAUUCGCUUUGUUCGCAAUUUUAGAAUCUGAAGAAUUCUUACUAGGCAAUUUCAAAAGCUACACCAAAAACGUUGUGAUUGGCUAAAAAAAAGUCUACAACAAUUGAAAUUAAACCAAUGGCGUUAUUUUCAUUUUAGAAACAAUACAAUUUCUCAUCGUUCUUUGAAUAGCGAUUUAAAAUUAGUACAAAAUUCUCAAAACAUAUUAUAUAUACAUUUAUAUUCUUUGAUGUACGAAUUCAAGUUUUAUUUUAAAAAAGAUUAAGAAGCCAUUGAAUUUCUGUUUAUUUCAGGUUUAACGCAACGUCAGAAUAUACAGAAAAGCUGGAUCUGAAAAGUAAUAAUUGUCGAUCUCGUGUCGGUGAGAACAAUUAUAAUUCAUUCAUAUAACAAUAGUAUGCUCAAAGAUGAUACAUAAUUCAGCAC